This 253-nucleotide ribosomal RNA is filed under the name uncultured bacterium. RNAcentral's name for it is "partial 16S ribosomal RNA". It matches the Rfam family "Bacterial small subunit ribosomal RNA", at positions 524 to 776 of the family's 1533-position model. The record is from RNAcentral.
UACGUAGGGGGCAAGCGUUGUCCGGAUUCAUUGGGCGUAAAGAGCGUGUAGGCGGCCAGGUAGGUCGGUUGUGAAAACUGGAGGCUCAACCUCGAGAUGUCGCCGGAAACCAGUCGGCUAGAGUCCGGAAGAGGAGAGUGGAAUUCCUGGUGUAGCGGUGAAAUGCGCAGAUAUCAGGAAGAACACCUAUGGCGAAAGCAGCUCUCUGGGACGGUACUGACGCUGAGACGCGAAAGCGUGGGGAGCGAACAGG